Molecule: ribosomal RNA, 440 nt
Filed under: uncultured bacterium
Lineage: Bacteria
Description: partial 16S ribosomal RNA
Rfam family: Bacterial small subunit ribosomal RNA
Source: RNAcentral
CCUACGGGUGGCAGCAGUGGGGAAUAUUGCACAAUGGGGGAAACCCUGAUGCAGCGACGCCGCGUGAAGGAAGAAGUAUUUCGGGAUGUAAAGCUCUAUCAGCAGGGAAGAAAAUGACGGUACCUGAGUAAGAAGCCCCGGCUAACGACGUGCCAGCAGCCGCGGUAAUACGUAGGGGGCAAGCGUUCUCCGGAUUUACUGGGUGUAAAGGGAGCGUAGACGGGGGUGCAAGUCUGGAGUGAAAUGCGGGGGCUCACCCCCGGGACUGCUUUUGAAACUGUGGAGCUAGAGUGCAGGAGAGGUAAGUGGAAUUCCUAGUGUAGCGGUGCAAUGCGUAGAUAUUAGGAGGAACACCAGUGGCGAAGGCGGCUUACUGGACUGUAACUGACGUUGAGGCUCGAAAGCGUGGGGAGCAAACAGGAUUAGAUACCCUUGUAGUC